AGAAUCAACGCUGGCGGCGUGCCUAACACAUGCAAGUCGAACGAGAAAGGGGAGCAAUCCCUGAGUACAGUGGCGACCGGGUGAGUAACACGUGACUAACCUACCCUCGAGUGUGGAAUAACAUCGGGAAACCGAUGCUAAUACCGCAUAACAUCGCAAGAUCAAAGGAGUAAUCCGCUUGAGGAGGGGGUCGCGGCUGAUUAGCUAGUUGGCGGGGUAAUGGCCCACCAAGGCGAAGAUCGGUAUCCGGCCUGAGAGGGCGCACGGACACACUGGAACUGAAACACGGUCCAGACUCCUACGGGAGGCAGCAGUGGGGAAUUUUGCGCAAUGGGGGAAACCCUGACGCAGCAACGCCGCGUGGAGGAUGAAGCCCCUUGGGGCCGUAAACUCCUUUCGACCAAGACGAUAAUGACGGUACUGGUGGAAGAAGCACCGGCUAACUCUGUGCCAGCAGCCGC
This 461-nucleotide ribosomal RNA is filed under the name uncultured bacterium. Its description in RNAcentral is "SSU rRNA". It matches the Rfam family "Bacterial small subunit ribosomal RNA", at positions 26 to 518 of the family's 1533-position model. The record is from RNAcentral.